This 1121-nucleotide unclassified non-coding RNA is filed under the name Mizuhopecten yessoensis (Yesso scallop). Its description in RNAcentral is "kidney mitochondrial carrier protein 1-like, transcript variant X2". Lineage: Eukaryota; Metazoa; Mollusca; Bivalvia; Pectinida; Pectinidae. The record is from RNAcentral.
AUCAAGGUCACUUCCGGAAUAUUUACCUUCCCUUACUACUGAGGUCACCCAGUUUACAUGUCGGAUGUCCACUAAGUGUUUCGCUGUGAGACGAUUUGUAUCCGACGCCCAUCUGUUUACGAGGACAAUUGUAAUCCUAGACUGAGCUUCCACCAUCACAGUAUCUCGCCAGCCAUCCACCAGGAAAGCUGUUACUAGGAAUGACUGAUUGGCGAGCGUUUGUAUAUGGAGGUUUGGCGUCUAUGACAGCUGAGUUGGGGACUUUUCCCGCUGAUACCACCAAGACAAGGUUACAGGUCCAGGGCCAGAAGAUAGAUGUCCACAACCGUGAGCUGCGCUACCGUGGCAUGAUACAUGGCCUGGUCCGAAUAGCCAAAGAAGAGGGCGGCAGAGCGCUGUAUAACGGAAUUGCACCGGCAUUGUUGAGGCAGGCUACCUAUGGUACAAUCAAGAUAGGCAUUUAUCAUUCUCUUAAACGGGCUAUUGUGAAAAAUCCUAAAGAUGAGACACUCAUGCUCAACAUGUUUUGUGGUGUGGUGGCAGGAGUGGUGUCUAGUGCCGUGGCCAACCCUACAGAUGUCCUCAAGGUGAGAAUGCAAGCUGACAGUAGCAAGGAAAAGCGAUCUCCAUUACCAAGAGCCUUCUUAAACAUUUACCAAACAGAAGGCACAAAAGGACUAUGGCGGGGCGUCGUUCCAACGUCCCAGCGGGCAGCUGUUGUAGCCGGUGUAGAACUUCCAGUCUACGACAGAAGCAAGAAAUACAUCAUAAAUCAUGGCCUACUGGGUGACACAAUAUUUACACAUUUCAUAGCCAGUAUAAUAGCCGGUCUGGCGGGGGCCAUCACCUCUAACCCCAUCGACGUUAUCAAGGUACAGUUUAGCUCAUCAUCAUGGCGACUAGCUCCUGAGUGGAUGGCCGAUUGAAUCGAAGGAUUGAUCACAUGAUACAUCUUUUAGCCCCUCCCCACUCUUGACACGAGGCUGGGGUCAAAGCGGGGUCACGCAUGUGACGAGGCCCUAGCGACUGCCCUCACCCGAGCAUAACUCGAAUGAUGAAUCAGAGAGCACUGAAGAGCACUGUUGUAGGGGAGGCAGCAGCCGUACAGACAAUUUAUACCU